Molecule: ribosomal RNA, 449 nt
Filed under: uncultured bacterium
Lineage: Bacteria
Description: partial 16S ribosomal RNA
Rfam family: Bacterial small subunit ribosomal RNA
Source: RNAcentral
CCAGACUCCUACGGGAGGCAGCAGUGGGGAAUAUUGGGCAAUGGAGGCAACUCUUACCCAGCAAUGCCGCGUGAAUGAAGAAGGUCUUCGGAUUGUAAAGUUCUUUAAUUGGGGACGAAAAAAAUGACGGUACCCAAGGAAUAAGCCCCGGCUAACUACGUGCCAGCAGCCGCGGUAAUACGUAGGGGGCAAGCGUUAUCCGGAUUUACUGGGUGUAAAGGGGGCGCAGACGGCGAUGCAAGCCAGGAGUGAAAGCCUGGGGCCCAACCCCGGGACUGCUCUUGGAACUGCGUGGCUGGAGUGCAGGAGGGGCAGGCGGAAUUCCUGGUGUAGCGGUGAAAUGCGUAGAUAUUAGGAGGAACACCAGUGGCGAAGGCGGCCUACUGGACGGUGACUGACGCUGAGGCUCGAAAGCGUGGGGAGCAAACAGGAUUAGAUACCCGAGUAAC